AUGACGAAGAGCUCUGUUCCUCUUUCACUUUGGUGCUCACCCACUUUGUUUAGGUCACAGUCAUGCAGUAUUCUGUGAUGUGGAGAAUUUUACUGUCAAGUGAGAGACAAAUGCUGAAUCUUUGCCUUAUUCUAACCAGGCCUUUUGCCAGCAAGGUCUCAAAGCCAAGAAAAUGUUGGAAAAAUAAGCUCUCAUCUCAAGUAUACUACUGUGAAAGGAAACAUUCGCUAGCCAGGAGUACAGCGUUUUUAAGCUCUUGGUCCUCCUCAAAGAAGUAUGAAUGGAAUAUCUUCACUGUUACCUGCCAAAGUCUUUUGGUGAUAGUGAGGCAGCCUGUGAUAGUUGUAAGCUUAAGUCCCUACCAAUUAAUGAAGCAGAAUGGUGUUAUAUGCCUGCAGAGACUUACGGUGGAACAGAGCCAGACAUUCUCUGCCAAACAACAAAACACUAGGGAAAGGCUGUUGUGCAUUAUCUCCAAAUUCAAGCUGACAGAUGCUGCUGUUACAUUACUUAUCUGAACACUCUGUAGUGCCUGCACUCAAAAAUGCUGCAUGAGUGUAGGUGAGGCACCCACUCCUGGGAAAGAACUGGAGCCAACCUGGCUGAGAAAUAAGCAUCUUAAUCCUGCCACUUUGGGGAAGCAAGUGCUAGGCCCCCAGGCACAAGGAAUCCCCUGGCAACAGUAUGGAAGUGCAGUGCAAGCUCAGCUGCUAUUAUCUGUGAGCAAUGAUAGCAAGUCUAUCUUCCUGGCUCAUGGAUACCUUGGAGUUGGCAAAGCUUUCACAUUCUCUCCAAAUGCAUACAUAAACAAAUGAAGAAGAAUCAGGAUGCACCACUGAAGGAGCUGUGGAAGGGAAGCGUGGAAGGAGGUAUGGAAGCAAGGUGUGAAGUCUGAAGGUUCUACUUACUGCCACAGAGCUUUUGCAUUUCAGUAGAUAUAGUGUGAAGUUGCUGGAAUGGACUCUCAGUACAUGUUGACACCAACUUGCUAAGCUGCAAAUGGAGGCCAUGCAGAGCCUUCCUCUCCGCUGCAUUUAACCCAUUUCCUGUCAGCUUUACUUGGGGAAAAGCUCAACAUGCCUGAGAAGUCUGGGGCGAGCGGCAAGGAAAUAAAGAAGUUACUAGUCUUCUGAUCUUUCCACAGGGAGGGAGAGUCACUGCUCUGCAAUGGCACUGGAACAGGUUACCCAGAGAGGUGGUGGAUGCCCCAUCCAUGGAGAGACUCAAGAUUUGGAUGGACAGGGCUUUGUGCACCUGAUCUAGCUGUAGAUAUCCCUGUUCAAUUCAAGGGAGUUGGACUGGAUGACAUUUAAGUCUCACCUCCAACUUAAACGAUUCUAUGGUUCUAUAACAGCAAAGAGUCAGGGAAAGGAUGAACCCUGUAGUCAGUGUAGGGGAUUUUCGUGGAGUCAUUGCAGAGAAGAUAUAUAAGUGGUAAUAGAGAUAUAAGAGCUAAUCAGUGCAAAAUGGGAGCUGGUAAAUAAUGUUCUCACCUGGAAAUGUUUCAUCCUCUGAUGAUCCAGAUUAAGAAAGAGGUUUGAGAAGGAAUCUGUAAAUCUCUAUGCUUUAGAGAAAGCCAUGCAUUACUUUGUAGUCAACAGACAGACCUAGAACUGUGUCUCCACAGGGGGCAGGGAAGACGUGUGGGUUUUCUGGCAGAAUUUAGUUGUCAAAAGUAAUAUAAACAGAAUGCUUCAUCUCUGAUCAGUACUUCCACUAUGUCCAUAGUCAGCCUUGCCUCUCCAGAGCAGGAAUCAUUUACCAGCACCUCACUGGCAUCCAUUAGCCUUGUUGAGCAGCGACUGACUAUACUGUCAUGUUCUUCGACAUCACUGUGUGUAUUUAUGCUCUUUCUUGCACCUUUUCAUUUUAGACAUUAAAUUUUGGUUCUGCCUUUGGGUAAGACCACACCAGGGAAUUCCAAGGCAAGAGCUACAGGGUUUAAGAAGUUUUUUACAGGUAUCCAAAUGCAAGUGUGUUUUAGCACCAUGACUUACUUUCUCACAGCAGUGCUGUCUCUUGUCCCUUUUGGUCACUGACCGGACAAUAGUCUUGUGGCAUGGAAUAUAUGCUGGGAGGAAGGCCCCAACUAGUAGGGCAGUAUUCAUUCCCUGACAUCAGCUAGUGCCAUAUCUGAGACCUUGGGAUAUUGCUUCUUUAUAAUGUGUGUCCAAUUGUUUGCUGUAAAUCUGUAGCCCUGCUGGUUUACAUGGGGAAUCAGAUCUUAAAUGGAGACUUAUGGUCAUUUAAUUGAGAGUGACAGGAGGGGCAGCUGAGGGUCAGGGAAAUGGUCUGCACCAGAGGGGGAUGGGCAUGAAAUAGGCUGCCCAGGGCAGUGGGCACAGCCCUGAGUGCCGGAGUUCAGGGAGCAUCUGGACACCAUUCUCAGACACAAGGUUUGGCUUUUGAGUAUUGCUAUGUGGAACCAGGGGUUGGACUCCAUGAUCCGUGUGGACUCUUCCAACUCAGGAUAUUCUAUGAUUCUAUGAGUAAAAUGCAGAGAAAAUACUAAAUAGUUCAGAGAACUUUUUGACUUUAAUAAUAUCUGAUUGUGAGAUCUUUGACGUACUGUUCCUGCUGAGGGCUGGUUGAACACCCAUGUGACAUCUGAAGGGUGCCUUGAUCAGGCAGGAAUGUCUUGUCCCAGCAUUUGAGAAAGGAAGUGAGGGCAAAAGAGACUUGUGGAGUACAAAACACUUGCAGACUCUGAGAAACAAGAAGGAACACAAAGUUAAAAGAUGACUACUCUGUACUCUAGUUUUGAAGAAGCUUAGGUCAGUUCAUGUGGGGAAAAAGAAAUAAAUAAAUAAUCAGCAGAUCAGUUUUACCCUCCCUGAACAUUUAAUUGUAGUGAAGUGGUCAUUUCUCUUCUGCUUGCUAAGCUGCUUAGAAAGCACAGUUAGCUUUUUAAGGAGGCACGCCAUGUGCUCUACUUAUGUAAGUAUGCAGUGGAAUUUACAUUAGGUAAAUUCAUUUCCACCUGAACACCAAACCAACCUAGGUAUCUUACUGUCACUUUGGCUGCUUUAAUUUUUUGUUGGUGUCAUAACUUUUUAUUAAGUCACACCUUUUUCAUUUGUUUCACCUCAUUUCCAAGAGUCAGUCUGCCAUUCAUUCCUUAGGUAAUGUUGAGAUGUGGGUUGCAGGUGUCCUCAGAGAAGGCUGCAGAUGUAAAUAACACACAUAAUUUUGCAGUACUUUUCACUGGGAGGUCUCAAAAAGGCAUCAAUAUCAUUAUCCUCAUUAUCCUUACUUUACCCUCGAGGGAAAAUGAGGAGCUCUAUAGCUCUGACUAUUUCUUGGGUAAGUGAAUGGGAAAAUAAUAACCAGACAGUGUUCUCCCUUGUUAUUUGCAUGAGGUUGGCUCUCCACAGCCUGCUCUUGUGCACGAUUGUAGUGUUCCUGUGGUUGUGAGCUAUUCCUCACAACCUCAGUGAAUGAGAGAACUUGUAUCCCCUGCCUAGGAAAUUUCCAUUAAAAUGUUCUGUUCUCAUUUCUCUUCCCUUGAAUGUAGAGCAGUGCUGUGCUGAGCUGACCUAAAAAAAAAAAAUCAUGAGCAAUCACCAUCUGCCAGUCCAUGAUUUUAACUGAGUAGUGGACGUUUUAUUUUCCUUCUCUUUGUCAGUCUGUUAAGCUUGUCUGGCUCAUCUUCUCACUAAAAAUGGCUGCAGUACCAUAGAGGAUGAAGAAUCUGUCUUACAGGGAAAAACAAGAGAUCAUUAAGAGCUUUCUGACAAUAUUCUGUAAUAUUAUAUGAAAAAUCUCCACACUCUUUGUGUCUCAUCCUCAUUUAGUACUGUAAAAUCUAGUUGUUCAUUCAGUCAUCUAUAUAAUGGCUCUCAGUCUGUAACCUGACUGUCCACAAACAGUUAGUAAUAGACAUGUUAGAAUGUCUUUACUUACGACUUAGGAAAAAAAUAAAAGUAGCUGAUUCUCUGCAUUUCAUCACUGAGAUAUUUUUCAGAGAGAUAAUCUCCAUUAAUCUAUUCAUUUAUAAAUACAUUCACCUGAAAUGAUCUCCACACACACACACACACACACACACACACACAUACACACACACACACACAAAAAAAGGGGUGUUCUUUGUGGCUGAGGAGUGAAUAUCUGAUGAGCGUCUGUUCAGCUGCUGAUAAGAUAGAGAAACUUGGAAAGGUGUCUCAUUUUCAACAGUUAAAAACCCAGAUGCUAGGUAUUGGGUCCUUCCAUGCAGAAAAUUCACAGAUAAUCUGUCUAAGAAAUCAGAUUAAUAAAGAGUCCCAUAGCAGUCUUUUGUGAGCUUCAGACAUCUUGUUUGAUGUACUGUGACUGCACAUAUACUGUGGUUAUUUUCAGUGCUGGUCAAGUGGAAAUUAAAAUAAACACAACGUUUUCUACCUCAGUUCCAUAUCAGGACAUAUUCUUCCUUCCAAUGCAACCUGGCCUUUGCUUUGUUUUGACUCAUACUGGAAUCGCUAGUUGAAAAGGUUGAAAGAUUUUGUUCCAUUUCAUGUAAAUUUAAAAAUAAUUUUUGACUAAAAAUGAAAUAAACUGAAAUACAUUUUUCAUCACCCAAAAAAUCUAGAAAAAAAAUUGCAAUCCCACAGACCAAACAGAAUUCUGUUCCCCUUUAAAUUCUGAAGGCUCAAGAAAGCAUGGAUAUUUGACAUUUUAUACUCCAGAUAUUUGUAUGUCUUAGUUAUGGUUUCACCACGUAUCUCAAACCAUCAGUAAAAUCGCUAAAGACGGGGUGUAGCAGAGCUAUCUUGAACAAGUAUUGCACUCAAUGCAAUUGUAGCACUUUUUCACCCAAAGAGAGGAGGAAGUGUUUGGAGGGAGAGUAUUAAAAGUCUUGGUUGAGAAUUUUUAACUGGCUUGCUUUAACUCAUUGUAAUAGCCACAAACCUCCUGGGAUGCCAGUAGGUAAAACACACUGGUAUUGUCCAGUAACCUUCAUUCAAGUCCCAGUUUCGAAGAGAUCAUCAUGAGGCCUAGAUUGGCUGUGGUACUUCAUGAAAUGAAGCUGUACAAUGGACUUAAGAUGACCUAUGGUGGGGAUUACUGCACUCAGCUUUUCCUUUAGUAGUUGAGUAUCUUCCCGAAGCAUGUGGUCUGUGUCUCUAUUGUUGUGAAUGUUGGGAGUUUGUAAGAAGGCUGAUCAUUGCAUCCCAAAAUGCAAUGAUACCUAAUGCAGGGGUCAUGCAUGACACCUUCAUAACUGAAGUAUUUUUUUUUUAAUUAUAAGAACUCAUGAUGUGCCUGCUGAUUUCUUUGUCUCGUUCCACUCAAGAAAGUUUUCCCUGACAAAGUCUACUUUUAAAGCGGGAAAGAGUGGACUGAUCUUUUUGUAUUUUUAAUAAUAAAGUAGAAGCUGGUUCCAGAAAUAAUUCACCACUAUUACAGAAUGAAGCCUGUCAGAAUCACCUGCUUUUCUUCUUUGGCAUCCAAAUCCUUUCCCAUAACACACUGGUGUGAUAUGGUUAUUCUGACUCCGUUGAGUUCACUGCUUCAUAGGGGAGUCAUUGGAAAGUACCUUCUUCCCUUGCUAUUUUCUUCUAACACAGCUCAUGAAUUGAGCUUAGAGCAAAUGAAAAACCUGUCCCUGAGCACACAGGUGGCAGUGACAUUGGUGUGUACUCAUUAUAGCAGUGCCAGGCUCAAAGUCUGGGUAGGUAUUACGGGAUGUAAAUAAUAUAGGUUGGUGCUCUGUAAAACAGCCUUGUGGCUGCUUUUCCUGAUGAAAAAUAAAAUAAGAUAAAAUAAAAUAAAAUAAAAUAAAAUAAAAUAAAAUAAAAAUAAGAAUAUGUGCAGUGGUUUCAAAGGAGAGUUUUCCCAGGGGAAAGAGUAUCAAUAUUUCUUACAUGAGAUGUUUAUUUCACUUUCUUUUUCCACGAUGAUGCAAUGCUUUUAUGCUCAACAUCUCUACUUCUGACUCAUCUCUGAGGAAGUAAAAUGAGGACCAGCUGUGUUCAGUUUGUCACUCUGUGAGUUUUAUGUGUAUCAUAUGUUCUGGAUCCAGUAAUAAACCUGAUAUCAUUGCAAAUCAGCUUUUUACUCUUUUGCUUUUAAGAUUUACAUAUGUUUGCACAUUGUUAGAUGCCUGUAGUUUUUUCCAAGGAAUGGUGUUCUGUUCUGUUCCUCCUAAAGGAAACUAAUUUCUAAUAGCAAAACUUAUCUAAAAUUUAGGGUAAUCAUCUCUAUAUGCCAGCUCUUAUUGGUAUUAAAAUAAUCAUAGAAUGUCCAUGUUUCUCAACGGAUAUGUUUCCAUUCUACCUGAAACCUGAAACAGCAUUACUUUCAUUUCCCAGUGUAGGAAUUCUAUAGGAAAGCAUUGCAAAAAUGUAUGAAAUCUUUUUUUUUUUUUUUAUUGUCUGUGAUUCCAUUUUAAAAGAACAUCACACUAUUUACCUACAUCAUGCAGGAAAAAGUAGCAGGCAAAUAACAAAUAAAAUUUACAUUCACAAAGUUUCUACUUUAAAUAAUCUUCUGGCUGCUUGGAGAGUACUGCAUGCAUCUUGAAGAAUGCUGGGAAGCAUUUCUACUAGAAAAUGCACUGUUAGACUGAGUUUUGCUCUGUGCAUGUGUGUGAGCAACGGUGGAGAACAGAGAGAGAAAACAAGCAAUAUUUAAUGUCAGUAUUGAAACAUUUUACUAACUCAGCACAUGAAGAAACAGUAUCUUGAUAACAUAUUCAGAUUGAAUACAGACAAGUUUCAGAUACAUAAGACAUUACUUUGAGGUCACAACAGCUGAUUUCUAACAACGCUUAUUCUAGCACAAUAAGCUUGGCAAAAGAUGUACUAAGCAGCAUUGGUAUGGUGUUUCUUGACGAAGGAAAGGGGCUAGGAGGGACAUAAGCCAACAUAUGGUACUAGAAACAUAGACUGAGGAACUCCAGAGUGAUCUCGCACAUGAUUUGUACCUCAUUUUAUUUAUUUUAAACACAAGUAUCAUUCAUAAUUAAUAUUGCAGUCUGAUUUCAUAUGGCUUUCUCUAAAGAUAGGUAUGAGUUUGCAAAGGUCAGUGGCAAACUCAUUUGUCCUCCAGAAGGUGGAGGCCCUUUGAAUUUUGUUGACAGCCAGAAAGGUCUUGGAGCUGCAAAGGAAAAUGGCUGCAGUGUCUAGCCACCAACCUUUCUGUGUAAAUCAAAACUAAUCCACACCUGCCACCUGAAACCAAUAACCAUAAACAAACACACAAAUAAACAAAUAAAUAAAUAAAUGGGGGGGGGGGGGGAGGGAGGGGUGAAAGGAAAGAAAAGAAAAAAAAGACCUCAUUUACCUGAGAUUGAACAGACUAGCAACACAAAUGAAACAAUGGCAUGGAAUGCAAAGAGAAAAUCAGAAUCCAAACAAUGAACCAUACUUAUCUUUGGUCUUGUUCAAGUGCUUCAAUGCCUACUUGUGUGCUGAAGGGGACAGUGUCUGAGACCGUGCUUCUCACACCUAUACAUCAGCCAAAGGUGUUGUGCACCAUGUUGGUAGUGCAGGGUGGGAAGGGGAAAGAAUGGUCACAAGGGAUCGGGGAGUGCCUGCUUUCGAGUCUGUUCAGAGUGGCUUAGGCACUUUGGAGAUGAAGGAAUGACUUAGGGAGAGGCCCAGAACUCAUGCAAGGUGCAAAAGGUUAUCUGAGACAAAACCAAGAAAAAUCUGCCCAGUACCUGUGAUAGGUCUUCUGUCAUGUUUCUUUAUUGAAAGAAAUUGAAAAUUAAAAGGAAAAUUCAUAUCUGUCAGCUCACAACUGGCUGAACUCCACUGUCCAUGGAGUAAGGUCUACCGUGGGCUGGGAGAGCUGAGGUACAGAAGUGAUGACAUGGCUGGGCUGGAAAGCUCCCACAGUGAAAAAUGCACAGCAAGUAUUAUUCAAUAAACUACUUCCCCUUUUGCUCCUGCUCUGUGAGCCUAGCUUGUAAUAAACUCCACACAGUGUUCCCACAGCAUUUUUCAGAGUUUGGAUCUAGAUGUACAUACCAUUCAGUGGCUCUGCUCACAAAACAAAGUAAUUUUUUUAAUACUUUGAGGAUGGGGACAGUACUACCUGCUUAUGACAUUAGAGCGUAGGCCACACAAGAUCCUGACUUAGACCAGUCAAUGGUACAGCUGUUGAGGCACAAUUAGGAAAAAUUAUACCAAAUAUCCUUCUGUUCUCUCUCCUAAUACUCUGUUGUUUCCUCUUCCACACACAAGUGUACCCAUCAAGGUGCCAGGGAGACUGAAAAACAACAAACAAUUGGCAAUAUUGUCCAACAGAGGGGACAGCAUGCAGCAAACCUUGCUUCUGUCCCAUGGACAGUAUUUGACUGGAUGAGGAAAUGAGUCUGUGAUGGGGGCUAGGGAUAGGUCAACAAGCAAACCUUAGAGAAAUCCAAAGAAAAGCAGUUUGAGUUCAUCCUCUUGUUUGUUUGUAGACUCCUCCAAGACAAGACCAGGGGAGAAUAUAAAUGAAUGAAUAUGUCUCCUUUAGCACGGGAACUUUUGUGCUGGUUCGACUAAACGCAUAGACCAACCACUCAUAUCAGUCAGAGUGUUUCAGAAGAUAUGAUGCUAGUGUGUCAGUAGAUUUCACUGUCAAUGAAUGGCUGGAGCAAAGAACCAAGCUCUCUACCUUUUACCUUUCAGGGGUGUUGGAUCUAAUUCUCUCUCAGAGCAUCAGAAAAAGCGGCUGCCUUUGUGACAGGAGAGUUUUCAGUCCUUUGAGAUGUACUUAGAUAAGCUUUACUUAAUUUACUUAAACAAGCUUUACUACUUCAGUAGUUGCUGAAUUUGCAUGGAGUGAGUAGGACACUCUCCCUAGAAAAUGGUAUGUUGCUCAGCACUACCCAAGCAUUGAUACACAGUUAAAGAGUGUUCUGGGUCAUUGAAGUCUUAGUGGGACACAAUCAUCUCACUCUAAAUGAAAGGGCAGAAAAGCACUGAUGCUAUCUGAAAGAGUAAAACCUACCUUCUUCUUCCCUUGCAAAACUCACAGCAGUUUGCACUAGAAUGAACGUGUCUUGUUUGUAGAUCCAACCCAAAACAAGUUGCCUUUUUAUCAGCUGGUUUUGACUUGUAGAUCAGUUAAACAUCCUCAUCUUCCACCCUAGAUUUAGUAGAAACUUGCCACUGAAGUUAGGUGGGAAGACUAACUUCAAGGUGUAUCAGCUGGACUGUUGGUAUAUCAAGGACUGCUUAUAUACCUGAAUAAUAAUUGGGUAAGUAGGAAAAAAUGAAUAUAUUUAUUUUCUUUCACAAUAUUCUUUUCCUACCGUAUGAGAUGCUGCUAAAAAGCACAGAAUUCACAUUAGUUUAGGCAGUGAGACUUAACUAUGAUGCUUAUACUUACUUGAAAGGAUGACAAAUAGUUUUUUAAAUUCUGUAUCCAGAAAAGUACAGGAAUAUUUGCCUAAGGUCAGUUAUACUGAACAAGUGAAUCAAAAUAAGUUCCAUUAGAGUAAAAUGCUUAAUUUUAUGUACCUAAUUAAAUAUCUCAGAUUGUUUUCCUUUCUGUUGUUGUUGCUACUGUUUCCAUGAUAGGGACAAACAGUACUACUUCUGUGAGGCAAAUCCUGAUUAUGUGGAGAUGGUAUCUUUCCACUGUAUGUGAUGCAUUCUGGUCCUCCACCUUUCUUAAUCAGUAGAUUUCUACCACUUAAUAUGGGCUUUGAAAAACUGAUGGGGAGGCCAAGAUUCACCCUUAAAGGAAAGGAAAUUACCUUUUCUAAAAAGAAAUACCAUGUUAUUGAAUUAAGUGAACCUGUUUAAGUGUUAGAAAAACCUGGGAUACUAGUGGAACAGGAGUUGAACUCGAUGAUCCUUAUGGGUCCCUUCCAACAUGGGAUAUUCUAUGAUUCCAUGAUUCUGUGAUUAUCCUACAAGAUUGUGAGACUGAGGUGGUGUGGUGCUCUUACAGAAGCUACUACAGUGAUGUUGCCAAAUACAAAAAUUUUAUGAUCAGCUUUUCAGAUGGCAGUCCAGAAAACUUAGCAAGGGAUUGUGUUCAAAAUAAAUCUGUUUAGAGUGUGUGUACUAGCAAGUCAACAUCUCCAGAAGAAUCUGGCUUUUCUUAUUUAGUUACUCAAUGCUUACUGUGCUGUACUGGAAAAAAAACUGUACCUAUGUCUGGCUAAGGUAUUAAAGAUGAUGUUGAGAGAUUUUUUCAUACUUUAAUAGAAUCAACAGCUACUACAUACUGCAAUAAUAUUAAUUAACUCCUGCAGAUGACUGGGAAAUAAUUGUGCAAUCCAUCCUUACUACAUCCUUUUACAGUGGGUGUAGACUAAAAGCU
Long non-coding RNA from Gallus gallus (chicken), 10242 nucleotides. RefSeq lists it as uncharacterized. The transcript is spliced from 2 exons. NCBI's taxonomy places the organism in Eukaryota, Metazoa, Chordata, Aves, Galliformes, Phasianidae. The record is from RefSeq and is a predicted model, not a curated record.